CUUGGAGCAGUUCAGCUGGGGGCAGACCCGAGGACCCACGCAGGUGCUGUCAGCACUCCAGAGCAGGCAUGCAAUAAUCAAGGUGGCUUCUUGGGAUGGCUGUGAUUACCAUUUUACGGAACUGGGAUCUGAGUGCCAUUGACUCCAUGCUGAGGAAGAUGAAGGCGGAGCAACAGAGUAGGACAGAGGAGGAGCUAAAGCAGAGAGAGGCUGAAACUGACCGGCAUUGAGCAUGUUGCUCUACCAAGGAGAGGUGGUAACACCGAGAUCCUACCACUACAAAGGGAGGCUUACUGGAUAUAUCUAAAAACAUUGACCCCUAGUGAUCUGAAUAUUGACUUUGAUCUCAGGCCCUUCUUAUGAACAGUUCUCUCUUUUAUGAACAAGUCUUAUAAAUGGACACACCCAAUAUGUUCCCCCCUGUUGAUGAUGCUUAUUAUGCAUUAUGGUUGAACCAAAACAAUGUAGUGAAAUAGGUAACAAAUAAAUAUAUACACACGCGCACACACAC
This is a long non-coding RNA of Oncorhynchus kisutch (coho salmon), 511 nucleotides long. RefSeq lists it as uncharacterized. The transcript is spliced from 3 exons. The record is from RefSeq and is a predicted model, not a curated record. Lineage: Eukaryota; Metazoa; Chordata; Actinopteri; Salmoniformes; Salmonidae.